UAUCAUUUAGCGGAGGAAAAGAAAACUAACAAGGAUUCCCCUAGUAACGGCGAGUGAAGUGGGAAAAGCUCAACUUUGAAAUCUGGUACUUUCAGUAUCCGAAUUGUAGUCUCAAGAAGUGUUUUCUGUGCCGGUCCAUGUAUGAGUCUGUUGGAACACAGCGUCAUAGAGGGUGACAACCCCGUUCAUGACAUGGAUCCCGGUGCUUUGUGAUACACUCUCGAAGAGUCGAGUUGUUUGGGAAUGCAGCUCAAAUUGGGUGGUAAAUUCCAUCUAAAGCUAAAUAUUGGCGAGAGACCGAUAGCAAACAAGUACCGUGAGGGAAAGAUGAAAAGCACUUUGGAAAGAGAGUUAACAGUACGUGAAAUUGUUGAAAGGGAAACGAUUGAAGUCAGACGUGCGUGAUGCGGUUCAGCUCUAGUUCGCUAGAGUGUACUCCGUAUCUUUGCAGGCCAACAUCGGUUUUGUUAGUCGGAUAAAGGUUUGAGAAAUGUGGCACCUUCGGGUGUGUUAUAGUCUCAGACUGAAUACGAUUGAUGGGACCGAGGAACGCAGCGCGCCGCAAGGCAAAGGUUCCGACCUUUUCGCGCUUAGGAUGUUGGUGAAAUGGC
RNAcentral lists this ribosomal RNA (611 nucleotides) under Cystobasidium laryngis. RNAcentral describes it as "partial large subunit ribosomal RNA". It matches the Rfam family "Eukaryotic large subunit ribosomal RNA", at positions 41 to 638 of the family's 3401-position model. The record is from RNAcentral. Lineage: Eukaryota; Fungi; Basidiomycota; Cystobasidiomycetes; Cystobasidiales; Cystobasidiaceae.